RNAcentral lists this ribosomal RNA (1765 nucleotides) under Salmonella enterica subsp. enterica serovar Anatum. RNAcentral's name for it is "partial 23S ribosomal RNA". It matches the Rfam family "Bacterial large subunit ribosomal RNA", at positions 568 to 2236 of the family's 2925-position model. The record is from RNAcentral. Lineage: Bacteria; Pseudomonadati; Pseudomonadota; Gammaproteobacteria; Enterobacterales; Enterobacteriaceae.
AAGCAGAGGGGGCUUAGUGGUGGGGUGACUGCGUACCUUUUGUAUAAUGGGUCAGCGACUUAUAUUCUGUAGCAAGGUUAACCGAAUAGGGGAGCCGGAGGGAAACCGAGUCUUAAUUGGGCGUUAAGUUGCAGGGUAUAGACCCGAAACCCGGUGAUCUAGCCAUGGGCAGGUUGAAGGUUGGGUAACACUAACUGGAGGACCGAACCGACUAAUGUUGAAAAAUUAGCGGAUGACCUGUGGCUGGGGGUGAAAGGCCAAUCAAACCGGGAGAUAGCUGGUUCUCCCCGAAAGCUAUUUAGGUAGCGCCUCGUGAAUUCAUCUCCGGGGGUAGAGCACUGUUUCGGCUAGGGGGCCAUCCCGGCUUACCAACCCGAUGCAAACUGCGAAUACCGGAGAAUGUUAUCACGGGAGACACACGGCGGGUGCUAACGUCCGUCGUGAAGAGGGAAACAACCCAGACCGCCAGCUAAGGUCCCAAAGUCAUGGUUAAGUGGGAAACGAUGUGGGAAGGCCCAGACAGCCAGGAUGUUGGCUUAGAAGCAGCCAUCAUUUAAAGAAAGCGUAAUAGCUCACUGGUCGAGUCGGCCUGCGCGGAAGAUGUAACGGGGCUAAACCAUGCACCGAAGCUGCGGCAGCGAACGUAUCACUUAAAGCGAUUCAGCGGGUUACGAUUGACGGAGCGAAGCGACGUCAAAGCGUAUACAAAGUCGAGUCGGUUUAAGGAUACGUUCGUUGGGUAGGGGAGCGUUCUGUAAGCCUGCGAAGGUGGCCUGUGAGGGUUGCUGGAGGUAUCAGAAGUGCGAAUGCUGACAUAAGUAACGAUAAAGCGGGUGAAAAGCCCGCUCGCCGGAAGACCAAGGGUUCCUGUCCAACGUUAAUCGGGGCAGGGUGAGUCGACCCCUAAGGCGAGGCCGAAAGGCGUAGUCGAUGGGAAACGGGUUAAUAUUCCCGUACUUGGUGUUACUGCGAAGGGGGGACGGAGAAGGCUAUGUUGGCCGGGCGACGGUUGUCCCGGUUUAAGCGUGUAGGUGUGUGUUCCAGGUAAAUCCGGUUCACUUUAACACUGAGGCGUGAUGACGAGGCACUACGGUGCUGAAGCAACAAAUGCCCUGCUUCCAGGAAAAGCCUCUAAGCAUCAGGUAACAUCAAAUCGUACCCCAAACCGACACAGGUGGUCAGGUAGAGAAUACCAAGGCGCUUGAGAGAACUCGGGUGAAGGAACUAGGCAAAAUGGUGCCGUAACUUCGGGAGAAGGCACGCUGAUAUGUAGGUGAAGUGAUUUACUCAUGGAGCUGAAAUCAGUCGAAGAUACCAGCUGGCUGCAACUGUUUAUUAAAAACACAGCACUGUGCAAACACGAAAGUGGACGUAUACGGUGUGACGCCUGCCCGGUGCCGGAAGGUUAAUUGAUGGGGUCAGCGCAAGCGAAGCUCCUGAUCGAAGCCCCGGUAAACGGCGGCCGUAACUAUAACGGUCCUAAGGUAGCGAAAUUCCUUGUCGGGUAAGUUCCGACCUGCACGAAUGGCGUAAUGAUGGCCAGGCUGUCUCCACCCGAGACUCAGUGAAAUUGAACUCGCUGUGAAGAUGCAGUGUACCCGCGGCAAGACGGAAAGACCCCGUGAACCUUUACUAUAGCUUGACACUGAACAUUGAGCCUUGAUGUGUAGGAUAGGUGGGAGGCUUUGAAGUGUGGACGCCAGUCUGCAUGGAGCCGACCUUGAAAUACCACCCUUUAAUGUUUGAUGUUCUAACGUGGACCCGU